Molecule: ribosomal RNA, 402 nt
Filed under: uncultured prokaryote
Description: bacterial SSU rRNA
Rfam family: Bacterial small subunit ribosomal RNA
Source: RNAcentral
UAGGGAAUAUUGGUAAUGGGCGAAAGCCUGAACCAGCAACGCCGCGUGUGCGAUGAAGGCCUUCGGGUCGUAAAGCACUUUUUGGAGGGAUGAGGAAGGACAGUACCUCCAGAAUAAGCCUCGGCUAACUACGUGCCAGCAGCCGCGGUAACACGUAGGAGGCAAGCGUUAUUCGGAUUUACUGGGCGUAAAGCGCGUGCAGGCGGUUCGGAAAGUUGGAUGUGAAAGCUCCUGGCUUAACUGGGAGAGGUCGUUCAAUACUUCCGGACUUGAGAGUGGGAGAGGGAAGUGGAAUUCCGGGUGUAGUGGUGAAAUGCGUAGAUAUCCGGAGGAACACCAGUGGCGAAAGCGGCUUCCUGGACCAUUUCUGACGCUUAGACGCGAAAGCUAGGGGAGCGAACG